RNAcentral lists this ribosomal RNA (699 nucleotides) under uncultured bacterium. RNAcentral describes it as "bacterial SSU rRNA". It matches the Rfam family "Bacterial small subunit ribosomal RNA", at positions 8 to 674 of the family's 1533-position model. The record is from RNAcentral.
AGAGUUUGAUCCUGGCUCAGAACGAACGCUGGCGGCGUGCUUAAGACAUGCAAGUCGAACGGUAAGGCCGACUACCUUCGGGUAGUUGGUACACGAGUGGCGCACGGGUGAGUAACGCGUGGGUAAUCUGCCUUCGGGUUUGGGACAACUCCGGGAAACUGGAGCUAAUACCAAAUAAGACCACGAGGUCUUCGGACCUUGCGGAAAAAGGUGGCCUCUUCUUGAAAGCCAUCGCCGGUUGAUGAGCCCGCGUCCCAUUAGCUUGUUGGUGAGGUAACGGCUCACCAAGGCAUCGAUGGGUAGCUGGUCUGAGAGGAUGAUCAGCCACACUGGAACUGAGAUACGGUCCAGACUCCUACGGGAGGCAGCAGUCGGGAAUCUUGCACAAUGGGCGAAAGCCUGAUGCAGCAACGCCGCGUGAGGGAUGAAGGCCCUCGGGUCGUAAACCUCUGUCGGAAGGGAAGAAGGUAUUCCGGGCCAAUACCCCGGGAUAUUGACGGUACCUUCAAAGGAAGCGCCGGCUAACUCCGUGCCAGCAGCCGCGGUAAUACGGAGGGCGCGAGCGUUAUUCGGAAUCAUUGGGCGUAAAGCGCGUGUAGGCGGCAGGGUAAGUCGGGUGUGAAAGCCCGGGGCUCAACCCCGGAAUUGCAUUCGAAACUGUCCAGCUAGAGUCUCGGAGAGGAGGGCGGAAUUCCCGGU